UACGGAGGGUGCGAGCGUUAAUCGGAAUUACUGGGCGUAAAGGGUGCGUAGGUUGUUUAUUAAGUUAGCUGUGAAAUCCCUGGGCUUAACCUGGGCAUGUCAGCUAAGACUGAUGGACUCGAGUAUGGGAGGGGGCAGUGGAAUUUCCGGUGUAGCGGUGAAAUGCGUAGAGAUCGGAAGGAACACCAGUGGCGAAGGCGGCUGCCUGGCCUAAUACUGACACUGAGGCGCGAAAGCGUGGGGAGCAAACAGG
Molecule: ribosomal RNA, 253 nt
Filed under: uncultured bacterium
Lineage: Bacteria
Description: partial 16S ribosomal RNA
Rfam family: Bacterial small subunit ribosomal RNA
Source: RNAcentral